CUGCAGUAAAGGUAUGUCUCAUUGUGCCCUCACAUUGUCAUUGAUAAAAUGCCUCUUAAACCUGAAUUCACUCAUUGAAGAAAGAGCCAACCUUAUAUUCAUAGUUGAAAUCCUAACUUCAAUGUGAUAUUGGAGGUGGUGCCUUUGAAAUAAUAAUUGAUUAUGAGGCUAAAGCCCACAUGAAUGGGAUCCUUAUAAGAAGAGAUGCGAAAGGUUGCUCUUUCUCUCUGCUCUCCACCACGUGAGAAUACAAGGAAGAAAGGCUAUAUGAAAACUAUAUGAAGUGGGUCCUCAUCAGACACUGGAUCUGCAGGCAUGCUGAUCUUGGACUUCCAAGUUUCAGAACUGGGAGUAAUAAAUGUUUGUUGUUUAAGUU
Molecule: long non-coding RNA, 376 nt
Organism: Lutra lutra (Eurasian river otter)
Lineage: Eukaryota; Metazoa; Chordata; Mammalia; Carnivora; Mustelidae
Exons: 2
Source: RefSeq, a predicted model, not a curated record